Molecule: ribosomal RNA, 608 nt
Filed under: Gordonia otitidis
Lineage: Bacteria; Bacillati; Actinomycetota; Actinomycetes; Mycobacteriales; Gordoniaceae
Description: bacterial SSU rRNA
Rfam family: Bacterial small subunit ribosomal RNA
Source: RNAcentral
CUCAGGACGAACGCUGGCGGCGUGCUUAACACAUGCAAGUCGAACGGAAAGGCCCAGCUUGCUGGGUACUCGAGUGGCGAACGGGUGAGUAACACGUGGGUGAUCUGCCCCUGACUUUGGGAUAAGCCUGGGAAACUGGGUCUAAUACCGGAUAUUCACUUUUCCUCGCAUGGGGUUUGGUGGAAAGCUUUUGCGGUUGGGGAUGGGCCCGCGGCCUAUCAGCUUGUUGGUGGGGUAAUGGCCUACCAAGGCGACGACGGGUAGCCGACCUGAGAGGGUGAUCGGCCACACUGGGACUGAGACACGGCCCAGACUCCUACGGGAGGCAGCAGUGGGGAAUAUUGCACAAUGGGCGCAAGCCUGAUGCAGCGACGCCGCGUGAGGGAUGACGGCCUUCGGGUUGUAAACCUCUUUCAGCUCCGACGAAGCGCAAGUGACGGUAGGAGCAGAAGAAGCACCGGCCAACUACGUGCCAGCAGCCGCGGUAAUACGUAGGGUGCAAGCGUUGUCCGGAAUUACUGGGCGUAAAGAGCUCGUAGGCGGUUUGUCGCGUCGUCUGUGAAAUUCUGCAGCUUAACUGCAGGCGUGCAGGCGAUACGGGCAGACUU